Molecule: unclassified non-coding RNA, 246 nt
Filed under: uncultured fungus
Lineage: Eukaryota; Fungi
Description: sequence contains ITS1
Source: RNAcentral
GUUUUUAUAGAUUUCUUACGUCUAUGUUACAAUAUUUAUACUGAAUUCUUUUGGUAAAUAAUAAUCUGGGUACCAGACCUAAGUCUGAUUAUGGCUCGGUUAACAUUCUGUUGGCUUACCCAUAUAGCCAGCAGACAUUCCUCAAACGCCAAAUAAUAAUACAGUUCACAGUAAAUAAAAUAUUACUAGCCGAGGGCUAGAAUAUCAAAUUAUUUAAUGAUCCUUCCGCAGGUUCACCUACGGAAA